AAGCGUAAUUAACUCCGACUCACACCAGCCUAAGGUAAUGGCUAUGGCGGUUGAGCGAUUGGGUAUGGAGGGAAACCUCUGUGCCUCCCGUUUGGAAAGGAGUAAGAUUAAGUGUAGU
This is a regulatory RNA element of Syntrophomonas wolfei subsp. wolfei, 118 nucleotides long. It matches the Rfam family "Molybdenum/Tungsten riboswitch aptamer (Moco RNA motif)". The record is from Rfam. NCBI's taxonomy places the organism in Bacteria, Bacillati, Bacillota, Clostridia, Eubacteriales, Syntrophomonadaceae.